UUUUUUUUUUUUUUUUUUUUGUAGAAAUAUCAAUAAUCAAGUAAACAAAUUUAUUAAAUCCAACAGCAGGUAACCGUCCAAAUAAAAAACAUUAAAGGAAAAAAUGUAGACAUCAAAGACAAAAAUGUGUGUAACAAGUCAAUAAAAAUACUCAAGGGGCCAUUUGGAGAGUGCAACAGUGCAGAGAAUACAAACAAAAGUAUUAACUUUUGUCAAGUUUGUACAACCUCGACAAACAGACACACUGGUCACAAACCAAGAGGGAUCCACAAAGGUGGAGGGUCACAUGAGCAGUGGACUCAUCACCUCAGCGGCUUAAGGCAGGGUAUAUCUGCGGGACCAAUUCAUCCAAGCCCCAUUUGCCUAUUGCUUCACAUUCCCCCUUUAAAACCUAGAGUCAUAUUCAUUAGUGCAACAGGUAAGAGCAGUUAAUCACAGACGGAGCUGGGGACCAGGGUCAGAGGGAAGACACUUCUCCCAGAGCAAAUGUAUGCGUGUCGGGGGAAUGAAAAACCCCAGCAGCUGCUGAAUGGCUUCCUUUGGCAAUAUCCAAGAUUUGUGUUGAAAGGAGCAGGGAAGUCGGAUGGGUGGCAGAAGUAGGUAUCUAUGAGAUAGGCUGGGUUUCCAAGAAGAGAAGAAUAGGGAGGACAUGAUGCCCAGCACCUGAAUCAGAAGCAGAACCCAAUGGUUAUGCAAAGCUAUUUGAACUAUUUUGGCUUCUGCAACCAGUGCUCAAGAAUCUAUUUCGUCUUUCGAAAAGGGUGAAAACCCCUGCUGAUCUUCACCAACAUGCAGUCCCAGUCCAGUUUAAACUGGAUACGCAAUUACAGCUUAUCAUAGGAAUAAACUCUGAAGGGGGGUGGAUGGGAACCUUUAUAUGAUCUGAAAACACACUGUGGAGUAAGAGGAGGAUCAAUGUCGCAUUUCAUCAGUGAGUCCCAAUUAACACAAUUCAACAACCUUCAUAGUUCUUUCAGUCAUUUAAACAAGAUACUGCUGGAGUCCUCCUCCAAGGAAGACCCAUCAUUUACCAAGAUGUUCAAGUCCCCUAAGGAAGACCUUUGUCAGUUACCAAGAUGCUCAAGUCAUAGCUAACCAAACAUGAGAGACAAGAAAAAUAGCAAAGCAGUCAAGUAAAAGGCAACAAAAACCUAGCAGCAGCUUUCUUCCAUGCCUUAACCUUAUAAUUGCAUAACUGAGUCUACCUUUUGGGCUUCACUGCACUGAAGACCUCAUUUGGAAUCUGGCAAACCAAACACUCCUAAAUAUAUAGGUUGGUGUAAAAGUAAUUGUGGUUUUUGCCAUACUUAAUGGCAAAAACAUACAUAAAGUAUGGCAAAAACUUACUUUUGCACCGACCUAACAGAUCUGUUUUGGUUUGUAAACUUUUAGACAAGUUCUUAUCCCAGUAACUUCCCACCACCGUUCAAUACAAUUUGGCAUAGUAUGUAGCACAUGAGGCCAUCAAGUGUACUAUGGGGUCCCACACCCUGCAGCCUCCAGCAUUCGGCACCAGCCCCUGGAGACCAGUACUGCUUCAAAGACUAAUACUGUGUGGCUUAAUCCUUUCUCCCUUUCCAAAAACACUAGUUUCUGCCUUCCUUGGGGAAGUUUAAUACUGAAAACACUGCCUUGUAUGUUUUCAAUUGUUAUUUUCCUGGGCCCAGGGGUUUGGUUAAAAAUUUAGAUCUUUACCCAGCUCUAGAUUCAUCUUCCCUUAUCAGAGGGGCAGACAUGGGUUCCUGGACCCAACUCACACAGGUAGGCAGCACUUCAGCUGCUGAGACGACGAGCUGAAGCAUAGCAAAGCCGCUUACAGGAGGUAGGGUUAAGAAUGAUACACUGAGAUUUGGCAAAGAUGGGGGAAAGAGCAAUUCAAUGAAGCAGCACGUCAUCUCACACCAUCUUUCUAAUAAAUUGCUAAAGAAACAUCACAAAAGCUUACAAAGCCAUUUGUCAAAACCGAGUUGUUUCUUAUUUCCCAACACACAGUUUGUUGUCGUCCUCAGAUGUUGCCAAUUUCCAAAGUGGCAUCCACAUCCUGCCCCUCUCCACAUCACCCUGAUGUUCUAUUGCUAAGCAAGGAGUGUACUGGCUUACCUGAGGGGCACACAUUCAGCCUCUUACACAGACUUACCACUCAUUAAGUGGUAAACCUAUUUCUAGGUUGAAGGGAACAAGGCUUUUCAUUUCCCAGAAGUAUAACUUCAAACCCUACACACACCUCACCUUGGAUCCCUUUGCAGAAAAACUGCAUUUCUUGUGGUCAUGAAAGAGUCAAGCAUUGGCCCAGAGCGACUGCAGAAGCUUGAAAUCUUUGCUGGACAUCAAAUACUCAAACUUGGAAGGAACUUGUAAGUUCCUCCCUGACUGCUCCCUUUUCUGGCUUCUCAUUUGCAAAUGGAUCAAUAUAACCAAAAAAUAACUAAAUGGCUUUUUUGGUGGGGGAUGAGGAGGCUAAAUAGUUAAUUUAAAAAACAACAAAAUCCACCCACUCUAGUACGCGUAAUGCACGGAAUGUCUUCUUAAAGGGUGGGGAAGGAACCUAGUUUCUCUACUCAGGGUCCUGGGCUGCCUCCCUCUUUUGCGCACCUCUCUCUGAUACACCCUGAUCUGGGAUGGAAAGGGCCUUACCUGGCCAAGUGCAGCCUGCCUUUUCCCUCAGUCAACCACUACCCAAUCCAGAACCGAGGAAAAUGAGUUGCAAACUGCUUAAUGAAACAGCAGUCUUUUUAAAACCUCAGUCUGGGUACCCAGCUACAGCUGAUCCCACAGAACCUGCUGGAAACCCUGGAGACUUACUCCAGAGCCUUAUUUAGCUAGAACAGAAGCCAGGCAUCUGGCCCAAGAUCCCCUCCAGCUUUCUAGCAGUACUAUAUCGUGAAUGAUCUUAAAAUUUCCCAUUUGCCCCUCUGAAGGAGGAACUGUCAGGUUUAGGAUUUAAAAAAAAAAAAAAAAAAAAAAAUUCCAAGUAUGUUCCUUAUAGUCAAUAUCAAUUUUAGAAAAAUACUGACUGCCAAAACUAUUUAAUAACCCUUAAGGUGGGAGCCCAGAGCUAUAAGGCUGCUCACAAUGGAACUCAAAACAUGCAAUUCCUGCCCAGGCUGAGAAACAUACCUGGGACACAGCGGGGUAUUAGGUUAGGGGAAAAACCUCCAAAUGUUUAAUAGACAAAGUUUCAUUACCUCAAGAGUAUAAAUAUUUUUCUAAGUUUUUAUUUAAAAGAUUCCCUUUUUAAUCUGUUCCAAAGUGUUGGUAGCUGAACUAUACAAGUUCCUGCCACCCAUCCUUCCAGUACAGUUUUCUGAGGACAUACUUUUUAAAUGGAAAAAUAACAGGAGGACCCUCUAACUGAAACCAGGUAGGACCAGAGUCAGUUCCUCAGGCCCCUGCGGCAGUCUGGCCAAAGCUGGCCUUAUGAAGCGAGCGCUUGGAGAAGUCUGGGGAACCAGGCCCUCCCUCUUGUGAGGAAAGGGCUGAGCAAAACUCAUGUUCUCUUUAGUGAAAAUGGUCCAAAUUCAGAUCCAAAAGCCUCCAUUAUGGCUUUCCCUGGCACUCUUCUUAUACUUUAUACAUUGAAGGCAGCUCCCUCUUUUAUGGCCAGUAUAAGCAGGCAAAGAAACAAAGGAAUAUAGAUACAUAUAUGUGUAUAUAUAUAUAUUUUAUAUAGGUAAAAUAUAUACAUAUUUUAUAUAUGUAUAUAUACAUAUUUGGGGGUAGGGAAAGGAGAGGAGGGUCAUGUAAACCUAAACAGUCAUCACAUUACCCCAAAUGAGCCUGACUUUAACAAAAAGAUAAUAAAUAACUCCUGGGGGUUAAGUGACAACAUGGGUGCAGCAAGAAGGGAAAGGGCACAAAUUUAACUAUUAAAUACACUUUGAUAUUUGUUUGGCAGAGUUCAGGCCAACCCCAGGCUUCUGCCCUUGCCAGACAAGUAAGCUGAUGAUAUUCAAAGAAAAAAAUAAAAAUAUUUAAAAAAAAAAUUCAAGCAGAGCUCCAUACCACAGUUUUCCUUCAAGUCAGUUGGCCGGCAGGCAGUUUCCCGACCACCAGGAACAGAAACUUUGGCUCCAAGGUAAAUGAAACAAACAAACAAAAAAAAGUAUUUCCACUUACAACAUGAAAAUACAGAAACUUCAUCAAAGAAAGAAAACUAUCAAAGAAGUCUACUUCCAGCAAAACUGAGGUAGCACUGCUUUCUCUGCAUUCAAUGCUUAAGUGGUUCUCAGUACAACACAUGUUCUUACAAAAUGCUCACUUGACUGACAGGUGCAGCAUGUUGAUGGAAAAACUCAACAUGAAAUGCAAUAGGUCAAAGAAGGAAUGAGCAAGAAGUGAGGGAGAUCAGGGUUCUGGAUAAAUUAGCUUAAAAGGGGGUUGUUACCAGACUACACAUGCUCUUGGCUGGCCUUGGCUCUCCAAGAGUCUAAAUCGCCUGGGAAUUAAUGCAAUGUGGUUAACAGUUAACACUGCUAUUCAAAUCUGUGUAAAUCUUUAAAAAUAAUUAUUACAACCUAAAUUCAACCAUGUAAACAGCACUACACACAGUACAGACCUGCCCUGAAAAACAAUAUGCAAAACUGAGAUCUGGCACUGCAUCAUUUUGUCAUGUUAAUUCAACCUAACAGUCCCAUCCCCUCCCUGCUCUAUGCCCUCCCCUACCGAAAAAAAAAAAAAAAAAAAAAAAAAAAAAAAAAAA
Long non-coding RNA from Macaca fascicularis (crab-eating macaque), 4699 nucleotides. Lineage: Eukaryota; Metazoa; Chordata; Mammalia; Primates; Cercopithecidae. The record is from Ensembl.